AAACUAGGAUUAGAUACCCUAUUAUUGAGAAUAAAAAAUUGUAAGUAAAUAUUAAUUACGAAAGCAAAAAAUUAUGGCGGUAUUUUAAGCUUUUCAGAGGAAUUUGCUCUGUGAUGGAUAAAACACCUAAAUCUUACUUAAAUUAGUGCUUGUCAGUUUGUAUACCACUAUUACAAUAAUAAUUUAUUAUUAUUAUUAAUAUUCUUGUUUUAGAAAAAAAUUAAGUCAAGGUGCAGCAUAAAUUUAUGAAUGAAGUGAAUUACAUUUCUUUUGAGAAAAGUGAAAUUGAAAUAAAAUAUUUAGGAUUUGAUAGUAAAAUUAAAAUACAAAGUUAAUUUGAAUUAAGCUCUAAAAUAUGUACACAUCGCCCGUCGCUCUCAUU
This 382-nucleotide ribosomal RNA is filed under the name Hyalomma truncatum. RNAcentral's name for it is "partial 12S ribosomal RNA". The record is from RNAcentral. Lineage: Eukaryota; Metazoa; Arthropoda; Arachnida; Ixodida; Ixodidae.